CACAUCUUGUUGUGUUGUCCAAAACCCCAAGGAUAUUCAGUUUCUUUUUACAUAUGAUAAAGAAAAGCAGCUAA
Long non-coding RNA from Etheostoma spectabile (orangethroat darter), 74 nucleotides. RefSeq lists it as uncharacterized. The record is from RefSeq and is a predicted model, not a curated record. The transcript is spliced from 3 exons. Lineage: Eukaryota; Metazoa; Chordata; Actinopteri; Perciformes; Percidae.